RNAcentral lists this transfer-messenger RNA (354 nucleotides) under Phycisphaerales. RNAcentral's name for it is "RI-211 sp016124375 Standard tmRNA". It matches the Rfam family "transfer-messenger RNA". From Rfam's summary of the family: Bacterial tmRNA, also known as 10Sa RNA or SsrA, is named for its dual tRNA and mRNA-like properties. Its role is to liberate the mRNA from a stalled ribosome. The record is from RNAcentral. Lineage: Bacteria; Pseudomonadati; Planctomycetota; Phycisphaerae. RNAcentral also lists the same sequence under 1 other name.
GGGGCCGAACUGGAUUCGACCGGACAGGGAACGCACGACGUGGCGCGUCGAGGUGCACGUUGGCCUCGUAAAAAAACGUGCAAAAUAUUAAUUGCUAACAGCAAUUACGCUCUCGCGGCCUAACUAAGGCUGCAUGACCCCCACCCGAUGCCUGAUGGGGAGGGGGUCAAAAACAUCAGGCUGGCAGAGAUCCGCCGCCUUCGGGGGUCACCUGCGAGACAACACCGGGGGCUGGGCAUGCGGAAAGGGCGCGGGCGCUCGCGACGCAUGCCGAGAUCAAAUCGCCCGACACACGCGUAGAAGCGUCGUGCCGACUGCCUCGGGACGGGGGUUCGAUUCCCCCCGGCUCCAUUC